This 324-nucleotide unclassified non-coding RNA is filed under the name soil metagenome. RNAcentral's name for it is "partial contains 5.8S ribosomal RNA, internal transcribed spacer 2, and large subunit ribosomal RNA". The stretch from base 1 to 120 matches the Rfam family "5.8S ribosomal RNA", at positions 35 to 154 of the family's 154-position model. The record is from RNAcentral.
GAUGAAGAACGUAGCGAAAUGCGAUAAGUAAUGCGAAUUGCAGAAUUCAGUGAGUCAUCGAAUCUUUGAACGCACAUUGCGCCCUGUGGUAUUCCGCAGGGCAUGCCUGUUCGAGCGUCAUUUCAACCCUCAAGCCUCGCUUGGUGUUGGGCCCUGCCCGCCGCGGCCGGCCCUAAAGAUAGUGGCGGCGCCGCCUGGCCCUCAGCGUAGUACAGCUCUCGCUCCAGGGUCCGGCGGCAGCCUGCCAGAACCCCCCAACUCUGUGGUUGACCUCGGAUCAGGUAGGGAUACCCACUGAACUUAAGCAUAUCAAUAAGCGGAGGA